Molecule: ribosomal RNA, 312 nt
Filed under: Myzostoma eeckhauti
Lineage: Eukaryota; Metazoa; Annelida; Myzostomida; Myzostomatidae
Description: partial 16S ribosomal RNA
Source: RNAcentral
GUACUAAGGUAGCAUAAUAAUUUGCCUUUUAAUUGAAGGAUAGAAUGAAGGAAUAAACAAGAAAUUAUCUAUCUUUUUAUAACUAAUAAAAAUUAAUUUAUAAGUGAAAAAGCUUAUAUAAAAUAAAUAGACAAGAAGACCCUGUUGAGCUUUUUYUAUUAAAUAAUAAAUAGAUUUUGUUGGGGCAACAAAAAUUAUUACUAAUCAUUUUUUUUUUAUUACUAGAACCAAAAUCUUCUUAAUUAUCUUAUUGUAUAAAAAUUUAAUAAGUUACCACAGGGAUAACAGGCUAAUUUUCUUUUAGAGUCCAAA